RNAcentral lists this transfer RNA (56 nucleotides) under Fukomys damarensis (Damara mole-rat). It matches the Rfam family "tRNA", at positions 9 to 63 of the family's 71-position model. From Rfam's summary of the family: Transfer RNA (tRNA) molecules are approximately 80 nucleotides in length. Lineage: Eukaryota; Metazoa; Chordata; Mammalia; Rodentia; Bathyergidae. The record is from Rfam by way of RNAcentral.
AACUUAGUGGUAGAGUGCGUGCUUAGCAAACACAAGGCCCUGGGUUCAAUCCCCAG